GGUGGUGGUGGCAGGGGAAGAACAUUCUUGACACGCAAAGGGAGAAACCUUGACUGAGCCAACCUAUGGGGAUUGAAGAAUUUGAAGGGCAAGUAGUUGAUGUUAGUUGGAAGUUUUAAAAUGCUGGGAUCCUGCUUUUAUUAGAGGAUCACAUCAGUUUUUAUUGGUUGGUUUCUUGUAAUUAUUGUGAAUUAAAGAAAGCCAAGCUGCUCUGUUUUCCUGUUGUUUAGAUACAAUCAAUACUCUAUAGGCUGCUAUUAUAGCAUUCAUAAUUUACAAUGUUAUUGCACACUAUGCAGUAGAGAAUUUUUUUUUUUAAUUUUUAAA
This is a long non-coding RNA of Ipomoea triloba (trilobed morning glory), 327 nucleotides long. RefSeq lists it as uncharacterized. The record is from RefSeq and is a predicted model, not a curated record. Lineage: Eukaryota; Viridiplantae; Streptophyta; Magnoliopsida; Solanales; Convolvulaceae. The transcript is spliced from 2 exons.